AACGCACAUUGCGCCCCUUGGUAUUCCGGGGGGCAUGCCUGUUCGAGCGUCAUUUCAACCCUCAAGCUCUGCUUGGUCUUGGGCCGCGCCGGCAACGGCGGGCCUCAAAAACAGUGGCGGCGCCAUCGUGUCCCUCAGCGUAGUAAUUCUUCUCGCUGCUGGUGCCCGGUGGCCGCUGGCCAGCAACCCCAAAUUUUUCUAUGGUUGACCUCGGAUCAGGUAGGGAUACCCGCUGAACUUAA
RNAcentral lists this unclassified non-coding RNA (242 nucleotides) under Vanrija sp. Its description in RNAcentral is "partial contains 5.8S ribosomal RNA, internal transcribed spacer 2, and large subunit ribosomal RNA". The record is from RNAcentral. Lineage: Eukaryota; Fungi; Basidiomycota; Tremellomycetes; Trichosporonales; Trichosporonaceae.